CGUGGUCUGUUAGAAAUCAAACAUUCUUCAAUCCAUGAGAAACUUUCCUUCUUGUUGGUUAGGGUGUUUGAUACUAACAAAUCAGAACUAGUUAUCCCCUUUAGAGGUUCCAUCAAGGUUGACUCACAUGCUGCCUUUAGAGUCUUUGGCAUUUCAAUGGGUAAUAAGGGUGUUAAGUAUAAGAAGGAAAACGGCGGCAUCAGUUUCUUUGAGUCCUAUAAACUGUUGGCCGUGAAAAUAAUCAAAAGGCACCAACAUUCGAAGAAGCUAAAAGGUUGUUGCUUGAGGAUUAUAAGGGAACGUUUGAUCACAAGUGGUUGCAGAUUUGGCUUUUAUUUGCCAUCAGUUCUCUGCUUUGUCCAACUUCUUCUACUAGUCUUUGCGUCCUCAGAUUCCAUGCAAUCUUUAAAGUUAAUGAAAUAGAAGAAUACAACUGGUGCCAACUGGUGGUGGAUAGAUUGGUUAAUGGGAUUCAGGACUUUAAGACUGGAAAGAAGAAAUCUAUUUGUGGUUGCCUUUUUCCCUCACAGAAGAAUCUGGAAUUAUCUAUGAUGAGAAGCAAUUAGAGAGGGAGAAAGGUUCUUUUCUGAAUGCUGUUGAUGUACCUGGAUCAUCACAAGCAAGAAGAUAUGACUGUGAACUCAAGAACAAGCACAGAGAUUUAUCGCAUUUAACUACAGUCCCACCACUACAUGAGUUGCUUCAAUCCCACUCUAAAGAAGAUUAUCCAAAUUAUCUUCUUGAAGCAAAUGUUAUUCUUCAAUCACCUCUCAAGUCAAGAGUAAAACAAAUAAUUCACAAAAUUGUUGAUGAUGAGGAGUGUCUAGCCUCUCACAAUGGUAAUUUGGAAUUAUGUUUGCCAUCAAAAGAGGUAUUGGAGUGUGAUCUGCUUGGACCUUUGUUUCAAACAAAUGUUUCAGCCGCAGACAAAUCUUCAGAUGCAGAAGGCCUUGUCACUGCCAAAAGACCAGCAACUAAUGUUUAUGUUAGAAGGCCCAAAGACAACACAACACUCUAGCAAGCUACUCAUGAUAAAACUGAUGUUAAAGACAACAUGUACUUGGCCAAUUUAGUUGUACUUUCAGCUUGUAAUUUUAGUCUUAUAAUUUUAUUAUUUAAUUUUAGUUUGCAAUUUUAUUUUUAAUUUCA
Molecule: long non-coding RNA, 1149 nt
Organism: Sorghum bicolor (sorghum)
Lineage: Eukaryota; Viridiplantae; Streptophyta; Magnoliopsida; Poales; Poaceae
Exons: 2
Source: RefSeq, a predicted model, not a curated record